AGAGUUUGAUCCUGGCUCAGGACGAACGCUGGCGGCGUGCCUAACACAUGCAAGUCGAACGAAGCUCUGCGAUACAAGACUUCGGUCAAGUUGAACGGAUGACUUAGUGGCGGACGGGUGAGUAACGCGUGAACAAUCUGUCCCAGACAGGGGGAUAACAGAUGGAAACAUCUGCUAAUACCGCAUAAGACCACGGGAUCGCAUGGUACUGAGGUAAAAGGAGCAAUCCGGUCUGGGGUGAGUUCGCGUCCGAUUAGCUAGUUGGCGAGGUAACGGCCACCAAGGCGACGAUCGGUAGCCGACCUGAGAGGGUGAUCGGCCACAUUGGAACUGAGAGACGGUCCAAACUCCUACGGGAGCA
This 361-nucleotide ribosomal RNA is filed under the name uncultured bacterium. Its description in RNAcentral is "bacterial SSU rRNA". It matches the Rfam family "Bacterial small subunit ribosomal RNA", at positions 8 to 349 of the family's 1533-position model. The record is from RNAcentral.